GAUGAAGCUGAAAAAUAUUUUGAAUAAUAUGUCAACAUGGAAAUUUGUUCAAAAGUAGGAUAAUCAUACUUAUCAUUAGCGUUACAAUUAACAAUCGUUGAAUAACGAAAAAAUAAAGUUUAAAUGAAAUAAUUGUUAUUAGAUUGAAACAGUAAGAACAAAAGUAGAUGCUUUACCUUCGUUUCGUCACAGGAAACAAAUUUUGUAUACGUGGUACGCAAGCAUGGCAAGCUGUGUCAUUUGCUUGACUGAAGAAUUCGUGAAUUGAUGCGACAUUUUUGAGUAAUGGCAAUUUCUACUGAUACUGGCAGGUCAUGCCGCUCAAAAACAGAUGCUGACACAGCUGUCCUAACUCCCAGAAGUAAUUAUCUGUCCUAGAGCUACAUAAAUCACUUCCGUGACCAAGAAAAUCGCAUGACCGUAGAAAAUAAAUUCUUUUCGCUGUUAUUUUUCACGUCAUCACCCAUAUUAGCAGUGCAUCUCUUAAAAUACUCAAAAGAAAUUUAAUUACUAAGCUCUGACAUCAAAUGAUGAAUAACACUUUUAAUAGAAACUUGAAAAGAAUGCUUUUGAUGUCACCUACAGGUCUCUUUACUGUAAAGGAGAUUGACAGCUGUAAGUACUGGAUAUGUCUCUUCAUUCAAUUAAAUUAUAGUCAAAUGUAGGAAAGCGUUGGGAUAUACAUAAAGUGUAUCGAAACGUUACGUUUGCGGUUGUUUGUUUUUCAUUUUGAUGCAAUACUUAUAUGAUGUUAUAAUAUGAUUGCAAUAUCAGGUGUCGCAUCUUGUCAAUGUUGAAUAUAAAAUACCCCAAAUAAAAAAUGUCCAAUCCAUCAUGCCCCUUUGAUGUUUUUCCUCUACAUGCCAAAAAAGGAGUUACAUUUCUUUGAUCGGAGUAAAAAUAUUAUAUGCUCAAAUCUAUAUACUUAUAUAAUAUUUUAGAGAUAUUUAUGUAAGAGAAAUAUAUUUUAUAUAUAUUUCAAAGCUUUUGAACAUGAAAAUAUAGGUACUGUGUUUACAAAAACUUUUGGAAUGAGAAAUAUCUUAUUAUGUGUUAACCUUUGGAAUAAGAUAUAUCUUAUUAUAUGUUACUAAUAUGCAAAUGAGCUUUUAAGUGUACUCAAAAUCAGUAGUCAAAACCUAAAAAACAGCAUUUUACUGAAACAUCCAUUGACCAGUGGACUAGACUUAAGCUCUUACAUGCUUUUAAUAACAAGAUGACACUAUAUUUAGUUUAAACAUAUCUAUUUUAUAACGUACAUUUCUGCAUGACAAUUGGCAAGUUUACGUACAAUAAGAAAAGGUUGGAACAGUAGAUUUAGAGUACGUUCAUACUCAUUCUGCGCAAUCCCAUGUAACUGACAAAUCAACAAAGUAUCACAUAUGUGGAGGACAAAUGGCACACUGUCUCGAUUGGGAUUAUGGCCGUUUUUCAACAUUAUUUCAGUUACACAACGGUGAUUCUGCAUCAGUGCGGAAUUGGUCUAAGCAAAAAAAACAA
This is a long non-coding RNA of Mercenaria mercenaria, 1500 nucleotides long. RefSeq lists it as uncharacterized. NCBI's taxonomy places the organism in Eukaryota, Metazoa, Mollusca, Bivalvia, Venerida, Veneridae. The record is from RefSeq and is a predicted model, not a curated record. The transcript has 2 exons.